RNAcentral lists this ribosomal RNA (495 nucleotides) under uncultured bacterium. RNAcentral describes it as "partial 16S ribosomal RNA". It matches the Rfam family "Bacterial small subunit ribosomal RNA", at positions 28 to 507 of the family's 1533-position model. The record is from RNAcentral.
GACGAACGCCGGCGGCGUGCCUAAUACAUGCAAGUAGAACGCUGAAGGAGGAGCUUGCUUCUCUGGAUGAGUUGCGAACGGGUGAGUAACGCGUAGGUAACCUGCCUGGUAGCGGGGGAUAACUAUUGGAAACGAUAGCUAAUACCGCAUAAUAGCAGUUGUUGCAUGACAACUGUUUGAAAGGUGCAAUUGCACCACUACCAGAUGGACCUGCGUUGUAUUAGCUAGUUGGUGGGGUAACGGCUCACCAAGGCGACGAUACAUAGCCGACCUGAGAGGGUGAUCGGCCACACUGGGACUGAGACACGGCCCAGACUCCUACGGGAGGCAGCAGUAGGGAAUCUUCGGCAAUGGACGGAAGUCUGACCGAGCAACGCCGCGUGAGUGAAGAAGGGUUUCGGAUCGUAAAGCUCUGUUGUAAGAGAAGAACGAGUGUGAGAGUGGAAAGUUCACACUGUGACGGUAUCUUACCAGAAAGGGACGGCUAACUACGUG